CCUACGGGUGGCAGCAGUGGGGAAUAUUGGGCAAUGGGCGAAAGCCUGACCCAGCAACGCCGCGUGAAGGAAGAAGGCUUUCGGGUUGUAAACUUCUUUUGACAGGGAAGAGCAGAAGACGGUACCUGUCGAAUAAGCCACGGCUAACUACGUGCCAGCAGCCGCGGUAAUACGUAGGUGGCAAGCGUUGUUCGGAUUUACUGGGUGUAAAGGGCGUGUAGCCGGGCUGACAAGUCAGAUGUGAAAUCCGCGGGCUCAACCCCCGAACUGCCUUGGAAACUGUUGGUCUGGAGUAUCGGAGAGGAUGGCGGAAUUCCAAGUGUAGGAGUGAAAUGCGUAGAUAUUAGGAGGAACACCAGUGGCGAAGGCGGCCUUCUGGACGAUAACUGACGGUGAGGCGCGAAAGCGUGGGGAGCAAACAGGAUUAGAUACCCUGGUAGUC
Molecule: ribosomal RNA, 442 nt
Filed under: uncultured bacterium
Lineage: Bacteria
Description: partial 16S ribosomal RNA
Rfam family: Bacterial small subunit ribosomal RNA
Source: RNAcentral